GUGUAAGUCCUUGUCGCGCCUCUGCAAGCUGAGAACUUCCUUCAUGGGAAGGUUUUUUCAUAAGGACCACCUUUACCGCGUGGUAAAGGCUUUAAUGCCAAUAUGCAGAGAAACAGAUUCCGAAAUCUUAAAGUUUGUUUAAAGGACCAACUUCUUAUUUCACAAGUCUUUGGAAAGAAGCACUCUGAAAACCUUAGGAAACAAAAAUGUAAAUACUGCGAGUCAGUGUUAAAACUUUGAGAAGCAAAUCUUUGUUUCUUUCCGAUUUGGUGGAAAGAUCCUGGCCCAUGCCCGAUGAGUGUCAAAGGUAUGAAGCUGUCCUGACAGGUUACCUAGGGAUUCCCUUGCCCUGGAGAGCCUUUUGUUAAUGUAAAGCUGAUGUGGCUGUUCUCCGCCUCCGCCCCUAUGGUUCCUGUUGCGUGAAGUAAACACUGUGUGGCCAGAGUGCAGGUGAGCUUUGACCAGCCCUGGCUGCUAAGAUGGUUUCUGGGUAGUGUUCGGAGGGGAUUUAAUAUAAUUGCGCUUAAUAGCCUUGUGAAUAAUCAGGGUGCCGUGUUGGACUCUGGCAAAAGCUGUGGUCAGGGCAGGUAGAAAAUGGCAAGUGCGUUUAUGAGUCACCACCCCUCGUCCUCCUCAGAUUCAACUUCAGCGCCAGAGGAUCCCACUCGUAACAGCGAUUUGUUAAAUAAAAUGCAGAAAGAGGGGUCCCUUGCCUAGUAGGUUGGCCCAUAGCGUGAGUGUGUUUGUAAAAGCCUGUGUAGUGUGUCUGUUUACACAGAAAGCCAGGCUGAGCUCAGGUAAAUAAUUACUGCUAAAACGCUAUUACUUUCAGUAAAUACAAACUAAUGUUUGCUGCUCUACACAUUGUUUACCGAGGAAGCCAGAAGAACCAGAACCAAUGUUUGUUCCCUUAGAGAUUUCAUGCCAACUGCCUGAAAUAGAUCUACGCAUCAUUUUGUGUGUUGUCCCUGUAACUGGUCCUCUGCUGCCUUGUGGCAUAGAUGGUUUGGGCAGUGUAAGCCCCUUGCUAUUUGCCCCCGCCUCUUACCUCUAUUUCUACAAGGUUAAAAAAACCCCAUGUUGAUAGAAGUCUACCUUGCAGUCUGUAUAAAUAUAUGUCUUCAAAAGAUAUAAAGGGGAUUAGGUGUGAUGUGCUGUUGUAAUUUUGCCUCUAGUGUCAUCGUUUCCUUUGGGGAAAAGUGAGCAUAGAGUUAAAAUACAGUCUAAUGACCUGAGCAAGGUAUUUCCUUAUAUUAUUACUUUAGAUAGAGAAUCAGUUCCAACAAUUCACCAGAAGUUACAUAUGUGAUCCAUUAGAUUUCAGAACAUUUUACCCAAGUCAAAAGUUAACGUUGUAACACAAUGUUUUAAAAGAUAAAAUAUGCAAUCCCAAAGGAAGCAGGCUACUAUGGAACACCGCUGGAAACAUUCCCUGGAUAGAUGCAUAGCUUGUAUUCAGAUUUAUCAAUAAAAACCAUGAGUAUUAACAUUCAUCCUUCUUAACCACUUGGAACAGGGAGCAACGAUUUCCCAGCCCUGAGCGUGCUGCAGAGAAAAACUGGUUUCCACCUACUGAGGUGAAAGGAUUAAUGAAUACUUGGCACAUGAAAAAUGAAUAGUGAUAGCAGGAAGAAGAUUGCAUGUAGACAGUGUGAUAAGACUGCCUGGAAGUAAAUCUCUCAGCCUGACUAUCCGCUGUUCGUUGCAGACGGGGAACCAGUGAUACCUGCUUAGCAUCAAGCCCCAGCAUCAGCUUUGGACCCAUGGAGAAGGAAGGAGGCAUCUUCCCAAAAGCCUUCUGGGCACCUCUAACCCCAGCAGCCUUGUCCUACACCUGCAGCAGCCCGUCCUACCCUUGUCACCCGAGGAUCCUACCCUUGUCAUCCCUGGAGAUUCAUCCUGUCUAGAGGCAGAGCUGUCACCAUCUCUGCAACUGUGGGAACAUCCCAGGAAAUGGAGAGGUGGGCCUGGUCCUGAGGGCUUGGGGCAAAACAAGGUCUGAAUGAAAGCCCCAGCUCCCUUUGCUGCUCCGUAAUUCCAGUUAUAACAUUGAUUCAUAGUGAAACAAUCUGGUGAAAAGGAAAAAAAAAAAAAAAAGACUUCCCUGGAAGAAAAUUUCUUUUUAUUGUCAACUUUCACACAGUCAGAGGAAGAAAUUCCCUAGGCAAUUAGAGCUUCUGACAUUACAGGCACAAGGUUUGUUUUGAGAAAACAAACACAUGUCAGCGUUUUUUAAAGUUAUUUUUUCAACCUUUAGACAUGUUGGCAAGGCAUCGAUUCAGUGGGUUUUUAUACAGGAAGGCAUAUAGACAGGAAAGCCCAGUACCAGCUGUAAGUGCAAUAUGCCACCAGUCUGCUAAUGACAAAGAGCAACAACGCGAAGGAGCCAUCGACCAAACAAAGCAAAAGGAGGAGAGAGGCACCCACAGAAGUGGGUGGGUGGCAGCCACCCAAUUAUUGGAGAUUUCCCUGGUACGAGUACCUAAAGUCAUUAGCAUAAAAGCAGCACUAGUUAGGGACAUCUGCACAGCUGUGAGUAGCU
This is a long non-coding RNA of Calidris pugnax (ruff), 2542 nucleotides long. RefSeq lists it as uncharacterized. Lineage: Eukaryota; Metazoa; Chordata; Aves; Charadriiformes; Scolopacidae. The record is from RefSeq and is a predicted model, not a curated record. The transcript is spliced from 3 exons.